AACGGCUUACCGAGACCGCGAGAGAGAGAGGUCUGAGAGGGAGAUCCCCCACACUGGUACUGAGACACGGACCAGACUCCUACGGGAGGCAGCAGUGAGGAAUAUUGGACAAUGGAGGUAACUCUGAUCCAGCCAUGCCGCGUGCAGGAAGACGGCCCUAUGGGUUGUAAACUGCUUUUAUACGGGAAGAACCACAUCUACGUGUAGAUGCUUGACGGUACCGUAUGAAUAAGGACCGGCUAACUCCGUGCCAGCAGCCGCGGUAAUACGGAGGGUCCAAGCGUUAUCCGGAAUCAUUGGGUUUAAAGGGUCCGUAGGCGGGAUAAUAAGUCAGUGGUGAAAGUCUGCAGCUCAACUGUAGAAUUGCCAUUGAUACUGUUGUUCUUGAAUUAGUAUGAAGUGGUUGGRAUGAGUAGUGUAGCGGUGAAAUGCAUAGAUAUUACUCAGAACACCUAUUGCGAAGGCAGAUCACUAAUACUAUAUUGACGCUGAGGGACGAAAGCGUAGGUAGCGAACAGGAUUAGAUACCCUGGUAGUCUACGCCGUAAACGAUGGUUACUAGCUGUUCGGCUCGAUUGAGAGCUGAGUGGUUAAGCGAAAGUGAUAAGUAACCCACCUGGGGAGUACGUUCGCAAGAAUGAAACUCAAAGGAAUUGACGGGGGCCCGACAAGCGGUGGAGCAUGUGGUUUAAUUCGAUGAUACGCGAGGGACCUUACCAGGGCUUAAAUGCAGUUGGACAGGGUCUGGAAACAGACCCUUCUUCGGACUAAUUGCAAGGUGCUGCAUGGUUGUCGUCAGCUCGUGCCGUGAGGUGUCAGGUUAAGUCCUAUAACGAGCGCAACCCCUGUGGUUAGUUGCCAGCGAGUCAUGUCGGGAACUCUAGCCAGACUGCCGGUGCAAACCGUGAGAAGGUGGGGAUGACG
Molecule: ribosomal RNA, 924 nt
Filed under: uncultured Bacteroidota bacterium
Lineage: Bacteria; Pseudomonadati; Bacteroidota
Description: bacterial SSU rRNA
Rfam family: Bacterial small subunit ribosomal RNA
Source: RNAcentral